UGUGACGUCACAGAAGAACUCCGAAACUUUCAGACAUUCGCUGAAGUUUGUGCGAGUAAGUUGAUUAUUGAGGUUGCUCUGAUCAGGAGAGAAAAUGACGUUUCUGAGUGCACUUCUCGCUGCUGUGGUGUAUUUUCUACUGCACCCCCUGUUGUACAUGGUCAUAGCUGCAGCCACCUUUUACUAUUAUGUUAAACGACGCAGUCGAGAGAAAACAACAGCGGGCCCCGAGGACACAACUGAAGAUUCAUUGUUUGACCAGGGAAGGGAACUGGCUGUGGUCCAACCCACAGAGGUUCCUCAGGACCAGGUCACGGAGCUUGUGAAGAUUCUGAACCGUAUUUUGUCUGAUGACAGGAUGAAGGAGCUGGAGGAAUGCAUCUGUAAGGCACUCAGAAAUUGGAAGAUAAAAAGCAAGAUCAGUGGUUGGGGUCUGGAUGACAUCUUUGUGGCAGUUACACAGGCACUAGCACAUGGGGCUGUGGCUUGCACACGCAGUGAGGUCCCGAGCUCUCAAGUAAAUGACGAAGAGGAGUUCAGUGUCGGUCCGUGGGCAGCAAUGAAGGCUGAGAUGGGAUUGGAUGAGAGAAACCCUUCCUGUUUCCUCCAUCUGUACAGCGUUGUCAUGGUGCUGCGGAAAGCGGCAUCAAGACAAGUGUCCAUGAAUAAGGUGCCUAACAUGGCAGUGGUGUUAAAGAGCAUUUUGCACACCCAGGGAGAUGCCAUAGCAGUGUUCAGGGACCCCACGGGUGAGAUGCAGGGUACAGUUCACAGACGGUUGCUGGAGGAGAGACAGGGAGAGCUGAAGACUGGCGCAGUGCUGCUGCUCAAACAAGUGAGCGUGUUCUCCACCUCUAAUCAGAACCACUACCUGAACGUAACCCCCAAUAACCUUCUUCGAAUCUACCCUCCUGACGGAGCAGUCCACGCCUCCUCCCAGCAUUCUCAGCCUGCACUGCCUGAAGGGGGGCCCAUAUCUCAGAUGGAACUGCAUUUUGAUGACCAUGAGGAUGAGGAGCAGGAGCAGGGCAGCAUCCCAGCUAAACCUAGGGUCCCAGCUAAUGGGGUGGUCCAGUCUACUACACGACCUGACUGCUCAGAGGAUGCUCAAUGGGAUGCAGACCAAUGGACAGAGAUUGAUGGACUGUAAAUGUUGGAGUGUUUAGAGAGGAAAUCAGUGAACGAGGCACUGCCAGAUGGUACGACUCUGAGGGAAAUCAACCGCUAAGAGUCCAGCGUAGGUGUGAACUCCUUUAAUACUGUUUAAAAAGCAUCUCAGGGAAAUUCCUCUAGAAAUCGGUCGAGAAAACGCCAAGAAUACAUUUCUGGAAAUUCUAGGCGAGAAAGGACGUCUACUUUGACGAUGCUAAAAUACAAAGUUUAGAUUUAGUUUGGAUUUUUUCAUCACAACAUAAUUCCCCAUAGUUCCACUUGUGUUAUUCCAGAGUUUUGUUGGCCAUUUUUCCCCACAUUUUAGAAUAAUAAAGAAUGUGUCAAAUGUUUGUAUGUACCAUUAUUAUUUGCAUUGAUUUGUUCUCAUUUUGUUUUGGGUCUGUUUGCUUAUGGUUUUUGUGCCAACUGACUGAGCAUA
Molecule: RNA transcript, 1591 nt
Organism: Ictalurus punctatus (channel catfish)
Lineage: Eukaryota; Metazoa; Chordata; Actinopteri; Siluriformes; Ictaluridae
Gene name: homologous recombination OB-fold protein-like
Exons: 11
Source: RefSeq, a predicted model, not a curated record